RNA transcript from Lycium ferocissimum, 1846 nucleotides. It is a transcript of the gene named tRNA N(3)-methylcytidine methyltransferase trm141-like, with no coding region annotated. The transcript has 8 exons. The record is from RefSeq and is a predicted model, not a curated record. Lineage: Eukaryota; Viridiplantae; Streptophyta; Magnoliopsida; Solanales; Solanaceae.
CAAAAUGACAGGUGUCAAGUCCUAGGUGGACCACAGUAGUUAGUUACUUAUACGGCGUCGUUCCAAUGUUACUUCAUCCAAAAUUUCCCACACGCCUAGCAAACCAACCAUAUACGGAGGGAAGAAUGCAUGCAGCCGGUGGUCCUCCGGUUACGGUUUCUGCGUCGAAUUGGCCAGCGCCACGUGUCGGCCGGAGAUAUUUGACUAUUGGAUGUUGGACUUCAUUAACCAGUAACAGUGAAAACCACCAUUACAGCAGAAGGUCUCAACAGUACUGGGAUAAGUUCUACAAGCUCCACAAUAACAAGUUUUUCAAGGACCGGCACUACUUGGAGAAGGAUUGGAGAAGCUAUUUUGAUGAUGAAAUCGAAUCUUCCAAUGGGAAGGUUGUGUUAGAGGUUGGUUGUGGAGCGGGGAAUACGAUUUUUCCUCUCGUCACUACGUUUCCGAAGCUAUAUAUUCACGCCUGUGAUUUCUCACCUAAAGCAAUAACACUCGUUAAGUCACAUGAAAAUUACAGUGCCAAAAAGAUGAAUGUCUUUGUCUGUGAUGCCGCAAAGGAUGAUCUCUGUGAUAAUGUCACGCCUUUUACUGUUGAUGUAGUAACCUUGAUUUUUACCUUGUCUGCAGUUUCUCCAUCUAAGAUGGCUUCAAUUCUGGAGAACUGUAAACAAGUACUAAAGCCAAAUGGUCACAUUCUUUUACGAGAUUACGCAAUUGGAGAUUCUGCUCAGAGCAUGAAACGCAUAAGACAAGACAUGUCAUCAGCUCUGCUGGUCAGGGUUAGAAGUGGAAAGGAAUUGCAGUUGGGGGAAAUGGGGUUUCGCUUGUUAAGAAAAGACCAAUUUCUUUUCCUAGGGGGCUAAAAGAGAGGAAAUGGUUGUGUAUAGUCAAACAUCUUUUAAACUGUUGAAGGCUGAAGAUUACGUAUUUCUUUGCUGUUCUUGCAAUAGCUCAGUAGACAAAAUGGAGAAAACACGUGAUCUUAUUAAGAAAGUGUUUGCUCAGUGCUCACUGCCUUCCUUGAACAGGAAGAUACUGCUGCAUACUAAGUACUUACUUAUUUUCAGUUGGCAAAGAACAUAAAUCCUUCUCUUUGCUCUCCUAUUGUUGAAAUAACUGUGUUAUUUGAUACUCGGUAUACCCAGAUUUUUUUCAGAUACCUCUGCCAAAAUGGAAGUACUUGGGGUGAACCUUGGUGUUCCUGGCCUUGAUGCAGACACCAAAUACUAUCAUGUAGCUAAAAUUUCAAUUUCACGUUAAUUAUCAUCUUUUUGAUUAGUGGUAUAACUGUUCUUUAAGGGCCCUUUGUUGAUCGGAAAAAUGAAGUUCUUUAGCUAAAGAGUAAUCUGGAGUUGAUUUCUCAGAUGGUCGCUCAACUAAUAAGUAGUUAUUAUCUUAGAAAAUCACUUUCUUUGUUGAAAAAAAUGGGAAUCAAGAAGAAAGGUGACUUUCGGAGAUAAUAACUACUAGUUGAGUGACCAUGUAAAAAAAUCAACUUGAGAAAUCUGACUGAAGAGCAUUCUGUAUGGGCUGUUUCCAUUCUAAAAAUGAAACAUCUUUCACAUAAAUAUCAUUCAUGUCGAACAUUUUAAUCUUGGCUUGAACCAUUUUUCUGUUACAAGUGAUUCACUUGAUAGAAGUCUGGAACUGAAAGCUGUUUUUUUGGCAUGGAAUUUACACAACAAAUGUUUCAGGUGAAACUGCAUGAUAGAAACCAGAUGAUUAGUGAGAAUUUUUAUUUCCGAGGUGAUGGAACUUGUUCGUUUUACUUUUCUGAGGCUUACGCAUCGACCUUGUUUGGAAGAGCUGGUUUUGCAAUUGUGGACAUUAACACAUACUGCAA